RNAcentral lists this transfer RNA (77 nucleotides) under Pseudomonas marincola. Its description in RNAcentral is "tRNA-Val". It matches the Rfam family "tRNA". Rfam says of the family: Transfer RNA (tRNA) molecules are approximately 80 nucleotides in length. Their secondary structure includes four short double-helical elements and three loops (D, anti-codon, and T loops). The record is from RNAcentral. Lineage: Bacteria; Pseudomonadati; Pseudomonadota; Gammaproteobacteria; Pseudomonadales; Pseudomonadaceae. RNAcentral also lists the same sequence under 1 other name.
GGGUGAUUAGCUCAGUUGGUUAGAGCAUCUCGUUUACACCGAGAGGGUCGGGAGUUCGAAUCUCUCAUCACCCACCA